AUUGCAUCCAAACUCCUUUGCAAGUUUCCAGAUAAAACGGAUUUCCCUCCAUCCUUUCCAGUCGGAAUUCAGUUUACAGGUGUGGUGUUCGCAUCGAGGAUACUGGCAGGACCAGCAGCUCCAGCGCCUCGUCCCCAGUGCUGGCAACAAGCCACCCGGUCCCAAAGUACCUGAAAUCCUGAGAAAAACCUCCAGCUUUGCCUUCCAAAGUUUCACAAGAGAUUCAGGUAGAGGAACCAUGAAAAAUAGUGAUGUAUGAACAGUUUGAGAACCCACUUUCUCCUUGCCUCA
This 291-nucleotide long non-coding RNA is filed under the name Calidris pugnax (ruff). RNAcentral's name for it is "lncRNA (ENSCPUG00000001947.1)". Lineage: Eukaryota; Metazoa; Chordata; Aves; Charadriiformes; Scolopacidae. The record is from RNAcentral.